RNAcentral lists this ribosomal RNA (88 nucleotides) under Frullania chevalieri. RNAcentral describes it as "partial 18S ribosomal RNA". It matches the Rfam family "Eukaryotic small subunit ribosomal RNA". The record is from RNAcentral. Lineage: Eukaryota; Viridiplantae; Streptophyta; Jungermanniopsida; Porellales; Frullaniaceae.
CGUUGUGAGAAGUUCAUUAAACCUUAUCAUUUAGAGGAAGGAGAAGUCGUAWCAAGGUUUCCGUAGGUGAACCGCGGAAGGAUCAUUG